AACCGGAGGUUGUAAGCCCAGUCAAUCUUGGUGAUGAGGGCAGGAGUUCAGGUGUCCACAGUGGGAACGCAGAAGGGGUGCCGCUGAGCUAGAGCCCUCAGGCACAGUGACUGGGACAGCUCUGCUGUGACUCAGUGUGAGAGACACUGGGUUGGAUCAAGGACCUCUGGGGAAGGUGAAUCACAUCCAGCAGUACAGUGCCACCCCACCCAAGCCAGAAUGGCCUGCGUUGUGGAAUCUAGCAGAAAGGUCAUCAGAGCAGGUCUGAAGAUGUCUGUCCUGGUCACGGGCCACUAGGAAGCUCAUUGAACUCUGUACACAGUGUCUUCCCCUUCUAUCAAUUACUAAAAAUCAACUGUGUGUCAGACCCUGGUCUUGCACUGCCCAAAAGAGAGGACUCUGACACAGUCCUGUGAUUGAAGAGCUCAGUGUCUGGUGGAGGACAGAGACAUGUAAAAGGGGACAGCACAACCAGUUGGGUGAGCACUAUGGGCCAGGUGAGCUGUGAAGAUCCUGGGGACCCACUGCUGGUUCCUGGAUCUUUCAGGGGUCCCCCUGUGAGCCAUCAGAUCUCACAGGCUGAAUAGGCUUUGCCUUUUCCCAGAGUCUGAAGAAGACAGAGGCAGGGUUUCUGCAAAUCUAGGCUGUUGAUCAAACAGCACUGGCUUACA
Long non-coding RNA from Heterocephalus glaber (naked mole-rat), 671 nucleotides. Lineage: Eukaryota; Metazoa; Chordata; Mammalia; Rodentia; Bathyergidae. The record is from Ensembl.